Pocillopora damicornis (cauliflower coral) is the source of this 1908-nucleotide long non-coding RNA. The record is from RefSeq and is a predicted model, not a curated record. NCBI's taxonomy places the organism in Eukaryota, Metazoa, Cnidaria, Anthozoa, Scleractinia, Pocilloporidae.
GACUCAGUAGUGUCGGAUUCCCGGGGGAAGCCUUACGGCUGCAUCCUAUAAAGGAAAGAAUGACGAAGCAAAGGCGAAGUGAAACCAAAGCUUAAAAUUGACUUCUCUGAUGCGAUCUUGUUUGACUGAAGAACGACGUUGACCAUUAGCACCCGUAACGACAGUAUCUUCCUAAUCAUUACAGCCUUUCUCAAGAUCUAGCCACAAAUAUACAGCUUUCUCUUCAUCUUCCUGCUUCCCACCGUAAAGCAAAGGCUGACACCAAGGUUCAAAGCGUUCGAAGUUCAGGAUCGAUCGAUCCAACGAAGUGUUUACCUCUUUAAGAUGUAAACGUGGGUCAUGAGAUGGGUUCCCACACACCAACUCAUCCCCUACAGGCCUAGAAGAAUGUAGGUCAUGGAGGACACAUUAACAUCUCAAGAGCGGAAGGAAGAGUAGAGGUCCAGAGUGAUCAAGUGCAUGUGAAUAAUUUUCGUACUGCCCUCAAUUCAAAGUGGCAAUCUGGGCAGGUAUUAUUUCUUAGGAAAGUAGUACAAAAUAUACAAGAGCCAUUAAUAAGAAAAUUUAAUUAAAUACCAGAACAUUUUUUCCUACGUUUAUCUUAAAGCUAUUUUAUCACCAAUUUUUUAUUUCCAUUGGUUUCCGAACACCUUGAGAUAAAUUCAUCACUAUUGAGCCUUCAAAAUCAUCAACUUGGAUUAGGUUUACGAAAUGAGUGCUUUUUCUCUUCCUUUCCUUUUCUCCAACUGCGUCUCAUUUUUUCAUAGGUCAAUGUAAUGACACUAACCUGCUAUAUCCUACUUCCAACAAAUUUUCACGAAUUCUCGUUUAGUCAAAAUAGAUUACGUCCCAGAUCUUUGCACCUCUUGAAGAGAUAGUUCCGAAACGGUUCAUCACCUUUUUUAUUAUUGUUCUUAUUCUAAUCAGUUUUGGAAAGCUUUUAAAAUAAUUUGGUUUGGGCUUUCUGGUGAAAAUGUUGAACUCACUUUCCAAGAUAUUUUAGUAGGUAAAUUGGAUAAAGUAAGUUUGAAAUUGCAAGUUAGUUAUUGCUAAAUGAGACAUCUGGACCAGCCGUAAAUAGGUGCUAACCAGAAUACUGAUUGAUUUAAGGGAUUGGUUAAUCUGAAGUAUAAUACUGAACGACAUAAUUCAAUUAAAUACAAUGCUGAAGAGAAACUUCAGGUCAGAGGUAAAUUUUUCCCUAAUAAUGGCUUCCAUCUAUCUGAAUCAGUAAUUAUACGACUAAAGUAUGUAAUAGUAGGAAAUAAUUAAAGUGUAUAUAUAUAUAUAUCAAAUCUCGCGUCGUUCUUUCGCGUUCGCGAAUGGUUCUUUGUUCGUGAUUCAUCGAAGUGAUUACCCAAGCCGUGGUCAAUUGGGCACGGUUGCUUUCUAGUUACUAGAGGCUGAUAGUUUGUUUCUCGUUUCUGAAGCUCACGUUUCAUGAGAUUUACUUGAAGUCAGAAUAUUACGACGUUUUAUUGGAGAACCUGAAGUAAUUAAAUUAUGUCGUUGUUCAAUGUCUUCCCUUUGUGUUCUGGACAAAUGCAGCUCAAGGCUGGAACGGACAAAGAGGAGUAAAGAUCUAUUAUUAAGUUUAAGGACUCCAUUACACAACGGAUAGAUUUGAUUUAAAACAGAACUCGUAAUGCUUGUAUAUCUUGAAUUGUAUCAUUUAUAACAACGUAGUGAUCAGAAGCAGGACCGGAAUUACUGUUUAACGCUAAGCUAACACUGUUGCGUGUGCACUAGCUGGAAUGUUUUUUAAAUAUGAAAUGUUGCUGCAAGUACGCUAUACUUAGUUUUGGCUGCCUUAGCCAGCCUUUUUGUAGUCUCUAAAUUAUAACUAAAAGUGGGUUUUAUCCAAGCUUUGUUAAAACGCGAACGAGCUAGUAAAUUUUAACUGGAUCA